This 253-nucleotide ribosomal RNA is filed under the name uncultured bacterium. RNAcentral's name for it is "partial 16S ribosomal RNA". It matches the Rfam family "Bacterial small subunit ribosomal RNA", at positions 524 to 776 of the family's 1533-position model. The record is from RNAcentral.
UACGUAGGUGACAAGCGUUGUCCGGAUUUACUGGGCGUAAAGAGCGCGCAGGCGGUCGAUCAAGUCGAGUGUGAAAGCCCCCGGCUCAACUGGGGAGGGUCAUUCGAUACUGAUCGACUCGAAGGCAGGAGAGGGUAGUGGAAUUCCCGGUGUAGUGGUGAAAUGCGUAGAUAUCGGGAGGAACACCAGUGGCGAAGGCGGCUACCUGGCCCACUCUUGACGCUGAGGCGCGAAAGCUAGGGGAGCAAACGGG